ACCGGUUCUCGUACGAUCACCGAAGUUAAGCAACCGCGUGCCUAAUCAGUACCUAGAUGGCUGACCGCUUGGGGAUACUAGGUGCUAUAA
Molecule: non-coding RNA, 90 nt
Organism: Acanthosepion pharaonis
Lineage: Eukaryota; Metazoa; Mollusca; Cephalopoda; Sepiida; Sepiidae
Source: the annotation of a GenBank genome assembly